This is a long non-coding RNA of Rhagoletis pomonella (apple maggot), 1068 nucleotides long. RefSeq lists it as uncharacterized. The transcript has 5 exons. Lineage: Eukaryota; Metazoa; Arthropoda; Insecta; Diptera; Tephritidae. The record is from RefSeq and is a predicted model, not a curated record.
UAUCGCGUGAGCAAAUUUAAAUUCGUCGUACAUUGUGUAAUUUGUUGUAUUUUUCACAAAGUUAACUAGAGGAUUUAGUACUGCUGGUGUUGUUUAAGAUAAAAUGCGUACGCAAUGGCGGAGGACAAUAGCUUUUUUGAUUUGCUGAAGAAACUCCAAGGCGAAAUUUUCUAUGAACUACUUAAAGAUUGUGGAUUUACAACGGAAAGCCGUUUGCAUUUGGAUCCUUGUUUGGCCCGCGAGUCAUAUUCGAGCAUAAUCUAUUAAAAUGGUGAAUGGAAGAAGAAACGAGAAGUAAUGAAGAGCAGCCAGUCAUGUCAACUCCAUCAGGAUCCACACUGUCAAUAAAUUCAAGUUUCGAGAAUCGCGUUAAUAAUUUUGACGAGAAAUCUAUUCAAGAUAUUCUAAGUGAAACAGCUAGUGGAAAACAAAUUUUAAAGUACUAUGCAGAUAAUAAAAUAUUAAUACCAAAAUAUCGUAAAUUACUCGCUGCUACUGUUGCCAAUUAUUUGAUUGGUGCUAAUAUUAAUGCUCAUCCAAGUACUUUUGAUUUAUUAUCGCUUAAAAUUGCAAAUUUUUUUUACAAAAGAAGCACAGGUAAAGCAACCUCUUGAUUCGAUUUCAACACUUCAAAUCUCAUAACGAUCCACAACUUUGCCUCAGGAAAUUUACUAUCUUCCUAAAAAAGGAAAGAAACCAGGUGGAUCACUAUAUUCGAAAUAUCACAGCACUUUGUCUAAAUUGAGGCAGGAUGGGGUUGUUUUAAAGAAGCGAGCAAUAGAGAAACUGCCUGAAACGAAGGAAGUAAAUAGUUUUUCUCCUGGUUAGUUAUAAUAACAAUUAAGUAAACUGCCUAUUUUUUGACAUUUAGUAAUAUUGGUAUUUAGUAAACACCCCAUUUUGUUUUUCUAACGAGAAUGAAUAAUUCAGGUGGCAACGAGAUAAGCGAUAAAGCUUGGCUUAAAUAUAACAUUGAACCCUACAGCGAAGUAAUAGAGAAAUGGGAGACCACGUUUGCAGUCAGACAUAGCUUUCUGAGUAACGCUGAGGACUUGAGUUCGAUUCUGG